CCCGGGCCGAGAGCAGCGACGGCAGCGCCAUGGGCAGAGGGUCCCCCCCGUGCCCACGGUGACGCCCCGUACCCUCGAUGAUGCCGGUGGCCACGGUGACCCCCAUGCUGGCGGUGACAUCCAUGCCCAUGGCCUGGCCGGGAGUACUCGCCCGCUGCCACCACCUCCGAGAACGGGGGGGGCAAGAGGAAGCA
Molecule: long non-coding RNA, 194 nt
Organism: Tyto alba (common barn owl)
Lineage: Eukaryota; Metazoa; Chordata; Aves; Strigiformes; Tytonidae
Exons: 3
Source: RefSeq, a predicted model, not a curated record